UUAGGGAUUAGCAUCACGUCACCGUGUAGCUGCCUUCUGUACCCCCCAUUGUAACACGUGUGUAGCCCCGGACGUAAGGGCCGUGCUGAUUUGACGUCAUCCCCACCUUCCUCACAUCUUACGACGGCAGUCUCGACAGAGUCCCCAGCAUAACCUGAUGGUAACUAUCGAUAAGGGUUGCGCUCGUUAUGGCACUUAAGCCGACACCUCACGGCACGAGCUGACGACAACCAUGCAGCACCUUCACAAAUGCCUUGCGGCUGAUCUGUUUCCAGAACAUUCAUUUGCAAUUUAAGCCCGGGUAAGGUUCCUCGCGUAUCAUCGAAUUAAACCACAUGUUCCUCCGCUUGUGCGGGCCCCCGUCAAUUCCUUUGAGUUUCACCGUUGCCGGCGUACUCCCCAGGUGGAAUACUUAACGCUUUCGCUUGGCCGCUUACUGUAUAUCGCAAACAGCGAGUAUUCAUCGUUUACUGUGUGGACUACCAGGGUAUCUAAUCCUGUUUGAUACCCACACUUUCGAGCAUCAGCGUCAGUUACAGUCCAGCAAGCUGCCUUCGCAAUCGGAGUUCUUCGUGAUAUCUAAGCAUUUCACCGCUACACCACGAAUUCCGCCUGCCUCUACUGUACUCAAGACACCCAGUAUCAACUGCAAUUUUACGGUUGAGCCGCAAACUUUCACAACUGACUUAAGCAUCCGCCUACGCUCCCUUUAAACCCAAUAAAUCCGGAUAACGCUCGGAUCCUCCGUAUUACCGCGGCUGCUGGCACGGAGUUAGCCGAUCCUUAUUCAUACGGUACAUACAAAAAGGCACACGUGCCUAACUUUAUUCCCGUAUAAAAGAAGUUUACAACCCAUAGGGCAGUCAUCCUUCACGCUACUUGGCUGGUUCAGACUCUCGUCCAUUGACCAAUAUUCCUCACUGCUGCCUCCCGUAGGAGUUUGGACCGUGUCUCAGUUCCAAUGUGGGGGACCUUCCUCUCAGAACCCCUAUCCAUCGAUGGCUUGGUGGGCCGUUACCCCGCCAACAACCUAAUGGAACGCAUCCCCAUCAAUGACCGAAAUUCUUUAAUAGCUGAAAGAUGCCUUUCAGAUAUACCAUCGGGUAUUAAUCUUUCUUUCG
RNAcentral lists this ribosomal RNA (1121 nucleotides) under Bacteroides uniformis. RNAcentral describes it as "partial 16S ribosomal RNA". Lineage: Bacteria; Pseudomonadati; Bacteroidota; Bacteroidia; Bacteroidales; Bacteroidaceae. The record is from RNAcentral.